Molecule: transfer RNA, 66 nt
Filed under: Idaea effusaria
Lineage: Eukaryota; Metazoa; Arthropoda; Insecta; Lepidoptera; Geometridae
Description: tRNA-Ser
Source: RNAcentral
GAAAUAUAAAGUUUAAAAUAAAGCUGCUAACUUUAUUUUUAGUGGUUUAAAUCCAUUAAUAUUUCU